This is a long non-coding RNA of Hemibagrus wyckioides, 5399 nucleotides long. RefSeq lists it as uncharacterized. Lineage: Eukaryota; Metazoa; Chordata; Actinopteri; Siluriformes; Bagridae. The transcript has 3 exons. The record is from RefSeq and is a predicted model, not a curated record.
UCGUGUACGAAAUUCGUAACCAUGUUUCCCCCAAAACAAAAAAAAAAAAAAACGAACCAAAAAACCCCACACGAGUUAGUCAAACGUCAGCGUUGAGGUAAGUUAGCUUCCUCGGAUUAGAAGUAGCUGUCUAAUUACGGUCUAGUCAGAAUUUCGCCUCGAGCACAGGGAUAUUUUUUGAACACGAGCAAACAAAAGCCUACACAAAACACUAGCCUUGCAGCACUUUAGAUAAACCCAGCUUCAAGUAUUAGCUCACUUUCCUAAGCCAGCUGACUGAGAACAAGUUUGUCAAACGGUUUUAGCGAUGUACAUGACGUCAUAUUCAUCUGAUCGCCUCGGGAACGUGGGAAUAGAUACUUGACCCCUCACACGUGGUAAAGGCUACUGAGUUUGGAGUUUCACUUGGCUUUACUGAACAGGGAGAGAAAAAGAGCAUUCUGAAAGUGAAAUGCCAUCCAACGGCUUUGCUGCGUGCUACGAUAACGAAGCCGUGUUACAGAGGAAAUGAUCAUUGAAGGACAGGGUUCGAACUCCAGGCACGAAAAAAGUUCAGCGUCAGAAGCUGAGACAGGAUACAGUCGAAGCAGAGCAGUCGAGUGUUGCCCAUGAGAUCAGGUGAUGGUUGCUUGCUUUCUGGCAGCCUGGUCCAUGUCAGGAAAGGGACGUCUUCCCAGUCAUCAUUAAGAUGCUUAAAACUCAAGAGCUUGUUGGAAUACACCGGUCACUACAUUAUGGCCAGGGAGAAUGUUAUAAAAGGCAGUUCUUGUUGUUUGCAGUGUAUCAGGGUGAGCGUGGGCUAUAAGCUCAACGUCAGAAGAUUUGAUGGAUUUCUCUUCCUCACAGCCGAGGCAGAGUGCAGUCGAAGCAGAGCAGUCAAAGGUUAAGGACGUGGCCCGUUAGAUCAGCAGCGGCAGCCUGGGACAUGUCAGGAAGGAGAAAGCUUCUCAGACAGGAUGAUGUUUAAAAUGAUGUCUUUAUUAACUUCCAUGUGUCAUCACAUCUCCAAAGAUAGAGAAAAGCCAAGUAUGCAAGUCGUGUGCGAGACGUCUGACUUAAUACGGAUAGCGAAAGGAUGUAUAUUUAGGGAUCAGAUCAAGGCGGACCAGAUCCGAUCAUAAAUAGAUAAAUUGUAACGUCAUGCUUUUAUUUUCGGAGCCAAUUUAAAACAGUCUAGACAGUGCCCUGUAAUAGAUUAACCACAGAGUUACCACAGACCGUCAGCAGACUGGUGGAUCAAUAGUCCAGCUUCAAAUCAGACAGAAAGAACACACAUAAUCAACUAGGGCUGUGUAAUAUAACAAUAUCAUACCUCGAGGCUUGAAGAUGUUUCUGUUUGUAUGGCUAUAUACAGUACACUGUUGGUUCGCUGACAAAUAACUAACGUCCUUUAGUGGGUUUUUUUGCAUAUACAAUAUUUACAAAAAUUAAUUAUUUAUGACUGAAAAGUGUGAAAAGAAACAAAACCUUAGUGAAGUUAAAACGUUACCCUAAAGUACGGACAAUGCCUGCAAAACCUCAGAUUAACAAUCAUUAUCAUAACCACAUUAACAAAAGAAGUAAAAUAAACAGCUAUGGGAGUUAUAAACAAGAUCACUUCACCCCUAGCUCUCUAAGGCUGACUAGAGAGCCACUCCCUGCUUUUCUGAAACAGGACACCCACAGUCAGAAAUCACAAACACUAACUUAGUUUUCACCUAAAAAAAACUCAUUAACUGCCUAUUGUGUUUGUACCAGGCAUGUAACAAUGGCACCAUGCCACCAGUAACUACUUUGGUUUCAUUCUUUUUCAGUGAGGCAUUUCACUACAGAUGACUUGGUAAAUACCUUUUGAUUCAUUUACUGUAGUAUUAGGUGUGAUGCUAAAAGUUUACAAAUCUUUUUGUUUAUACAACAUGUAACAUCUGUGAAACAAGUCAGUUCUUGUUAUCACUUGUGUUAUAGCAGCUGUAAACGUUGUGCUCUCAUGAACUUAAGACAUAAAAGCACAGCUUGUCCUGGUAACAGGAAGGGUGCAGAAUUACCCAAAUCAAAGGCAUUCUUGUGCCAGAACAUGUAAGAGGAACAGUUUUACAUAUUGGUUUUAUAAAGGACUGACACAGACUAGACUGUCUACAUUUUAGGAAAGGUGAGGGCAGAUCACCUAGGGCUAAACCCCAGUUGUUGUUUUUUUUCAAACUUUAUUACAGAUUUUUUUGGUCUUUGGUGUAUAUAUAACUUCACAGCAGCAUGUACUUGUUAGUUAAAUUGUUAAUGCCACUGUGUGUGGUGACACGUGUGAAAAUACAUAUGGGUGGGUAGAUGUGGCAAGUGUUGACUACACUGCAGCAUGGUAUAGUUUUUAUAUAAACUUUUAUCAAGGUUGCGAUAUAAAUUAGCACUGGAGAGGGUUAAUUCAGCUCCAAGGUAUGGAAUAGACAAGGCUAAUCGUUAACACUGAAUAGAGAUAAGGUGGCAUGCUAGUGGAACCCAAGGGUUUUCUACUGUCCAGUGUAGGAGUCUCUUCUUUAACCAGAGGGACAACUGAAGAAUGGUUGUAAAUUUAUUGAGAAAAUUUUUGUAAAGAUAUUUGUAUGUUUCCAUCUAUUCAAAACCAACUUGACUUAAGAAUCAUGGUAUAAAAAAAUCCUAUGAAGAAAAAACAGGUUUCUGGCACAGUUUCUUCUCAUGCAUACCUGCAGUGUGAGUCUGGCAUCCACAGCUGUGCAGAUCACGCUAAGGAUGAACUUUUCCCUCACAUGCUAAUCAGAUGUAAAUCAGUGGCCAGCCUCACCAAGCCGAUCCAGACUCCUUAUCAGUAUGCGCUAGGGCUCCUGAAAGACCUUCGCUUAAUAUCGCUUUAAUUGUCUUCUGUCUAAUCGGCGCAGCGUCGAUGUUCACCACGUGUCUUCCACCGCGGACAUGUAUUGUCUCGAAAGAUGUCUAGAGACGUGCUGUCAAAGUUGCCUGUCAUCUCCCCAAUAUGUGUAUAUGCCAGUAUUUUCCUCCCAGGAAAAUUGCUACAAUUGAAAAAGGUUCAUUCAUUGUUCUGGAUAUUGUUCCUAGUUGUACUGCUUUUGUCUUUUUCACUUUAAGUAAUUAGACAUUUAAUUCAUUUCGAUUAAGGAAUUAAAGAAGGAAAAGACAGUUGAUUUCAUUCAUUCGGAAGACAGAGUAUAAAACAUGAGCAUUAAUCUGCAUCAUUGCGUAUGUAACAUUUACUCGAAAUCGCUCAUGCAGUACAGCUAGGGUUGUUUUUUUUUUGUUUUGUUUUUUUGUUUUUUUACAGCUAGAGAUUCCAACAUCAUGCAAUCGAUACUAUGUCUAUGUUGGUCUGUUUUGGUUUUGCUGAAUCCUUGCCGAUUACCCAAUCAUAGAACUUGGAUAACAGUUUCUCUCUGUAGCCUGGUAAACCUACCUGGUUUGUUGUUCGGAUCUUCCAACGUUUCCCUUCAUAUUGAUCUGUAAGCAAAUUGUCUGAAAGGAGUAAAAACACCAAGAUGUUUAUUUUUAUGCGUACUAAUGUGUAUCUAGGGCAGUGAAAGUGGGGUCUUUGAAGCAUAAUGAUUUUCAAAAUACAUACAUUUUCAUUUUGGUGGAAAUCACAACCCUCCAUUAUCAAAGCUAUUAUAUUUAUUAUGUACUUAGAUUUAUUAGCCAGUUUGAGUGCUCAGUAAAAAUGAAAUGCCUUCAAAUCCAAGCCUCAGUAAAGCAAAACCAAACAGGUCUGUAAACAAAUGCCUUGAAGAUAAAUAACCGGAAUGCUACUGUACACAGUCAAGUAAUGAGUGCAAUAUUUGAAUAGCUAGAUUAUGUUUAUAAUAUAAGGCUGAACUGAGGGCAUAUGUGGAAUUUAUUUUGCUGUAAAAGUAGUCCCAGGCGGUGAAAAGUUUAAGAUCCUGUGAGUUAGGAACUAAAACUGAGAAUGAAAGCAGACAUUCCCUCCCUCGCUUCUCAUUUUGAUCAAACAGAAAUCCUUUUCAGCUGACUUGGCUAAUCUAUAUCAAAUAGGUUUUGGGAGCCAGUUCCAGAGCUCUAAGCUUGAGUAUGUCAUGUAUCACCAGUCAAGCUCAAAAGCCAGCAGUAUGAAAGUGCAGGUAAGAGUUCUUCAGGGUUACUGUCACACCUACAGGCAUCCUGAAUCCUAAUGCCCGCAUUAAGUCUGGCCGCGGCGGUAAUCAUAUUAGUGCAUGCCGUCCCAUCUGGUGUCCUGCCAUCCUUCCUGCCUCGCUGUAGUAAGGUCCCAUUCCUGGAGUGGCUGCAGACAAGAUUGAGAACGAUCUCAGCAACCGCAGUAGCCCUGCUUUACAGUUCGGUGAUAAUUCACCCAUGCAGAGCCAAAAAUAAUCGCGCUGAUCAGUGGCUGGAUAGAAACAAACGGCCACCAUGGGAGUCAGGCUGCCAUUCAUGGUUUUCCCCAUGAGCGUCGCUGACCUUUUAAUGGUAAUUGUUGCAUGAAAAGGAAAUCAAUGUCAGAAUCAUUUUAGGCACAAACGCUCAGAGGGGCUUUUGAUUACUGUAAAUCGAUGAACGCCAGCUGACGCAUCGGAAGAGACACCCGUCACAUUUUAGCCUUUAAAUACAAGCAUCCAGAUUAAAAAUCCAAAUGAAAGUAAAUAUGCACUCAGCCAAAGUGACACUGUUGGGUUGGAACAAUCCAUUAGCUAUGUGCACUCUUUCCAGCCCCUACUUAGCAGUAGUUUAGAUUGAACAGAUGCCCCUUAGAUUAGACUUUUUUUUUUCCCACCUGCUAAAGCUUUAGGGAGCGAAGGAAAAAGCUGCAGGCAUCUACAGCAUGCGUUUGAGUGUUCUAUUCAAAUACACAACCAGGUUUUCUAUUCCUUCAUACAUCGUUUCCUUUUCCCUUAAUUAUGUAGAUGUUAAGCUAAAGACAAAAACCUUGCUUCUCUGCUGAUCGUCAGUGCAUUUGAUAUUUACAUCAGAUAUAGUAGAAUGUAGUUUUUUAUUUUAUUUGUUUGUAUUUGUUAUGCUUAUUUCUUGUAAGUGUCUUUCUUUUGGUUCAUUUUUAGAGGAGUUAGUUAAGGUUUGUAAAAAAAUAAAAUAAAAUUAAAAAAUUCAGUGGGUGGAGCUGAGUAAGAUUUGAAUUUUCCACGUUUUCACCCAUGUAUGCAAAGCUAUACCAUUAGUAAGGACAGUCACGUCAUCAAGCAAAGUUACAACUCUAAAAACACACAAAGACAAUAACCAAAUAACUAUUGGUUAGGAUGUCAUGGUACAUUGGGGCGUGUCUAUAAAAUGAUUGACGAAAGGUAUACAAACAUACAUCCCAGCGCAGAGGGACUGACGUGUUCUGAAAUAAUGGCUUAAACUAUAAUUUAGUUUUAUCAUGUCUACAUAAAAUUCUGCGUUAUUUGUUCUAGUAGGAAAUGACAUUUUGACUGUUGCACCUUAAAAUUCUU